AAGUCGUAACAAGGUUUCCGUAGGUGAACCUGCGGAAGGAUCAUUAUAGUAAGCUUAAUUGCAUACACUUUUUUAAUUGAACACACCGAUAACAUUUUUAAAAUUAUCACUAAAGUAAUAUCAAAACUUUCAACAACGGAUCUCUUGGUUCUC
RNAcentral lists this unclassified non-coding RNA (153 nucleotides) under air metagenome. RNAcentral's name for it is "partial contains small subunit ribosomal RNA, internal transcribed spacer 1, and 5.8S ribosomal RNA". The stretch from base 1 to 46 matches the Rfam family "Eukaryotic small subunit ribosomal RNA", at positions 1786 to 1831 of the family's 1831-position model. The record is from RNAcentral.